CAUGCAGUCGAACGGCAGCACGGGGGCAACCCUGGUGGCGAGUGGCGAACGGGUGAGUAAUACAUCGGAACGUGUCCUGUAGUGGGGGAUAGCCCGGCGAAAGCCGGAUUAAUACCGCAUACGCUCUACGGAGGAAAGGGGGGGAUCUUAGGACCUCUCGCUACAGGGGCGGCCGAUGGCAGAUUAGCUAGUUGGUGGGGUAAAGGCCUACCAAGGCGACGAUCUGUAGCUGGUCUGAGAGGACGACCAGCCACACUGGGACUGAGACACGGCCCAGACUCCUACGGGAGGCAGCAGUGGGGAAUUUUGGACAAUGGGCGCAAGCCUGAUCCAGCAAUGCCGCGUGUGUGAAGAAGGCCUUCGGGUUGUAAAGCACUUUUGUCCGGAAAGAAAACGUCGUGGUUAAUACCCGUGGCGGAUGACGGUACCGGAAGAAUAAGCACCGGCUAACUACGUGCCAGCAGCCGCGGUAAUACGUAGGGUGCAAGCGUUAAUCGGAAUUACUGGGCGUAAAGCGUGCGCAGGCGGUCCGCUAAGACAGAUGUGAAAUCCCCGGGCUUAACCUGGGAACUGCAUUUGUGACUGGCGGGCUAGAGUAUGGCAGAGGGGGGUAGAAUUCCACGUGUAGCAGUGAAAUGCGUAGAGAUGUGGAGGAAUACCGAUGGCGAAGGCAGCCCCCUGGGCCAAUACUGACGCUCAUGCACGAAAGCGUGGGGAGCAAACAGGAUUAGAUACCCUGGUAGUCCACGCCCUAAACGAUGUCAACUAGUUGUCGGGUCUUCAUUGACUUGGUAACGUAGCUAACGCGUGAAGUUGACCGCCUGGGGAGUACGGUCGCAAGAUUAAAACUCAAAGGAAUUGACGGGGACCCGCACAAGCGGUGGAUGAUGUGGAUUAAUUCGAUGCAACGCGAAAAACCUUACCUACCCUUGACAUGUAUGGAAUCCUGCUGAGAGGUGGGAGUGCCCGAAAGGGAGCCAUAACACAGGU
This 990-nucleotide ribosomal RNA is filed under the name Burkholderia sp. HC87. RNAcentral's name for it is "bacterial SSU rRNA". It matches the Rfam family "Bacterial small subunit ribosomal RNA", at positions 54 to 1039 of the family's 1533-position model. Lineage: Bacteria; Pseudomonadati; Pseudomonadota; Betaproteobacteria; Burkholderiales; Burkholderiaceae. The record is from RNAcentral.